CCUACGGGAGGCAGCAGUAAGGAAUAUUGGUCAAUGGACGAAAGUCUGAACCAGCCAUGCCGCGUGAAGGAUUAAGGCCCUCUGGGUUGUAAACUUCUUUUAUCUGGGACGAAAAAAGGGUAUUCUUACUCACUUGACGGUACCAGAGGAAUAAGCACCGGCUAACUCCGUGCCAGCAGCCGCGGUAAUACGGAGGGUGCAAGCGUUAUCCGGAUUUACUGGGUUUAAAGGGUGCGUAGGUGGGCUUGUAAGUCAGUGGUGAAAUCUCCGGGCUUAACCCGGAAACUGCCAUUGAUACUAUAGGUCUUGAAUUAUCUGGAGGUAAGCGGAAUAUGUCAUGUAGCGGUGAAAUGCUUAGAUAUGACAUAGAACACCAAUUGCGAAGGCAGCUUACUACGGAUACAUUGACACUGAGGCACGAAAGCGUGGGGAUCAAACAGGAUUAGAUACCCUGGUAGUCCACGCCCUAAACGAUGGAUACUCGACAUCAGCGAUACACUGUUGGUGUCUGAGCGAAAGCAUUAAGUAUCCCACCUGGAAGUACGAUCGCAAGAUUGAAACUUAAAGGAAUUGACGG
This 577-nucleotide ribosomal RNA is filed under the name uncultured bacterium. Its description in RNAcentral is "bacterial SSU rRNA". It matches the Rfam family "Bacterial small subunit ribosomal RNA", at positions 338 to 916 of the family's 1533-position model. The record is from RNAcentral.